GCCGGGCACCCGGCGCUGUUCCUCAGGCCCGAGGGAUCCCGGGCAGCCGCGCGCUUGGGCCCGGGGCGGAGUGCUCGCGGGUGUGUCCAUCCGUCCAUCCGCCGCCCCCGCCCGCCCCCUGCGGUGGCUCCCUGCUUGCCCAGCUCGGCGGCCGCGCCCGGCAGAUGCGCGGUGCUUGGUCCCGGCCUCCUGCGCCCCGGGCCUCCCGGCCCCGCCGGCCCCGGGCUGGCGGACGGGACCGAGGCGAGCUCCCCGGCCGCGCUCAACACCUGAGGAAACUGGCGGAAAAGUUUGAGAACGAAAAGUCCAAUCGUCUUUCAGCUUCCGCCCUCCCUAUGACACUUCAGCCACGGUCUUUUCCCUUGGAGAAGACACAGUAGAGGCUGAUUUGGCCACACAGAGGGCUGGUGUGGAAGAGGAAAGCAAUGUCUCUGAUUACUGAAUGCACAGGUCACUAGGAAGAGUGGACCCCUCGUCAGAAACCCUCAGGUCUGAGAGGACAUCUGUUUCGAGGAGCGCAGUGGGUAUAAAUAGAGCAGGAGCCAGCCUCGCUGCUGGACAUAUACUGGACAAAAGAUGUCUCUUCUAUCAGCAGAGUGAUGAUGGUGAAGAUGGUGAUGGAGGUGUAUAUGGAUGGUCAAAACUGGGUGGACAUGUUCCUUCCCCUUUGUACCUGAGUGUGGACACAUGGAGCUUCUGUUUCUUGUUUUUAACCCCGAGAGCAUCAUCCCAGUCUUGUUGCCGGACUGCUCCAGUACUCAAGUCUGAGAUGCUGACUCUGAUGCAUAUCAUUAAAGAAUCAAAGUUUAGUGAAGAGCUUCCACCCACUCCAGACUCCUUUCCACAACCUCUUCCUGGAGUGGGCAUCUCCUACCUUUAUAGGACAAUGUACCACAUUGAAAAAUUUUGCCUUUUCCCCAGCAAGCCACUCCACAGGCUGUCAGACCUGCCUGUUCCUGACAAGGGCUGUUCUUGUCAUGGGCGGACCUCAGUUUCAGGGGGACGGCGAUGA
RNAcentral lists this long non-coding RNA (1012 nucleotides) under Capra hircus (goat). RNAcentral's name for it is "lncRNA (ENSCHIG00000004737.1)". Lineage: Eukaryota; Metazoa; Chordata; Mammalia; Artiodactyla; Bovidae. The record is from RNAcentral.